Arachis ipaensis is the source of this 531-nucleotide long non-coding RNA. RefSeq lists it as uncharacterized. Lineage: Eukaryota; Viridiplantae; Streptophyta; Magnoliopsida; Fabales; Fabaceae. The record is from RefSeq and is a predicted model, not a curated record.
UGCUAUUGGCGUUCGCUACUUCGAUCUCACCAACCCCUGUUCGCUCUCCAUCCCCUGUUCGCUCUCACGAAUCGCCUGGUCGCCGUCGUCCGCGCGCUCAACAGCUCUUCGUCGUCCGUCGAAGAUGUUGAGGGACUCUUAAGCUUAUAUGAAGCUUCACAUCUUAGGAUUCAUGGAGAAGACAUAUUAGAUGAAGCUCUUUGAUUCACCUUAAAUCCAUUGAUCUUUGUUGCCUAUGUUAGUUAGUGUUUGUUGAUGGCCUGGAGUUUUGAGCUGUUUGUUAGAUGAGUUUAGUUGUGAUAAAUUUUGAUAACUGUUAUAUUUUGAGAAGGUUUGGUUCAGUAAUUAGGUUGAGCUUGAGUUUAGAUUGUGAUAAAUUUUGAUAAUUGUUAUGUUUUGAGAAGGUUUGAUUCGGUGAUUAGGUUGAACUUAAUUGUAGAAGAGGUCUUGCUACUCAGUUGUAAGAUUGUACAGUAUUAACUUAUUAAAUGAUUAGAAUUGCAUUUUGUUUGAACAAAAUUGCAUUUUGUU